UUAAUUUGCAGAUCCUUGAAUCAAUCAUUCGUAGUCUUCGGCCAUAUCAAGAGGAGAACCACAUAAACUACUUACUUACUAUCAAAGUCGGUGCGUACAACAAUUUGGAGGAAAUUGUUAACCAACUUUCAACUUUGAUCGUCAAAGCGAACACAGAAAGUUGAGUCGCGUUGAAAUUCAGAUAUUAUAUACAAAGCCUAUUCAACCCAAUUACCUUCCUUCUAUACGGUCAUCGUGAUCAUGGCGAUCAGUACUACAGUAGUACUAGUAUAGAACACAAUCAAAGUAAGGUGGCGCUGUUUGUGUUUGGGGACUCACCAUUUGAGGCUGGAAACGACCAAUACCUAAUUCCUAAUGUUACCGUAGAAGAUGAUGAAGCAAUAGCAUGGCCAUAUGGAAUGACUUUCUUCCACCAUCCUACUGGAAGAUUCAGCGAUGGGCGUAUUGUCCCCGAUUUUAUCGAUCUAAUAUUGGCUCUUGUUUCUUUAAAGUUGUACUAUCAGAUCUAA
This 509-nucleotide long non-coding RNA is filed under the name Rosa chinensis. Its description in RNAcentral is "sRNA RchiOBHm_Chr2g0144861". The record is from RNAcentral. Lineage: Eukaryota; Viridiplantae; Streptophyta; Magnoliopsida; Rosales; Rosaceae.